CCCGCAUUUCGCAUACAUAUUAAUCAAAGCAUUCGAAUUUGCUAAUUCAGAAACAAACCCAUUGACUAAUACUAUCCCAUGGACCUGCAGCCCGAGUCUAAGGGCCGAUAACCCAGCACAAGACUUUAGCACGCUAGGCAAAGUGUGGCGAUCAAUGGGCUUAUUGGCACCGAGCAUGCGACGAAAAAAGGUAAGAGAGUGAGAAAAAAGGUUGAGAGAGGCGUAAGCUCUAAUGAGUGAAUUGA
Molecule: unclassified non-coding RNA, 245 nt
Filed under: Hevea brasiliensis (rubber tree)
Lineage: Eukaryota; Viridiplantae; Streptophyta; Magnoliopsida; Malpighiales; Euphorbiaceae
Source: RNAcentral